RNAcentral lists this transfer RNA (73 nucleotides) under Actinomortierella wolfii. Its description in RNAcentral is "tRNA-Arg". It matches the Rfam family "tRNA". From Rfam's summary of the family: Transfer RNA (tRNA) molecules are approximately 80 nucleotides in length. Their secondary structure includes four short double-helical elements and three loops (D, anti-codon, and T loops). Further hydrogen bonds mediate the characteristic L-shaped molecular structure. tRNAs have two regions of fundamental functional importance: the anti-codon, which is responsible for specific mRNA codon recognition, and the 3' end, to which the tRNAs corresponding amino acid is attached (by aminoacyl-tRNA synthetases). tRNAs cope with the degeneracy of the genetic code in two manners: having more than one tRNA (with a specific anti-codon) for a particular amino acid; and 'wobble' base-pairing, i.e. permitting non-standard base-pairing at the 3rd anti-codon position. RNAcentral also lists the same sequence under 2 other names. The record is from RNAcentral. Lineage: Eukaryota; Fungi; Mortierellomycota; Mortierellomycetes; Mortierellales; Mortierellaceae.
GCCCGGCUAGCUCAAUCGGUAGAGCAUCAGACUUCUAAUCUGAAGGUUGCGGGUUCGACCCCCGCGUUGGGCU